UUUUUUUUUUCUGCACCCACGGCAUAUGGAAGUCCUGAGCCAGAGACUGAAUCUGAGCCACAGAUGCAGCAACACCAGAAGCUUAACCCACUGGGCUGGGCUGGGGGUCACACCUGUGCCUCAGCAGCAAGCCUAGCUACCACAGAGACAAUGCCAGAUCCUUAACCCACUAUAGGACAGUGGGAACUCCUUUAAUUUUUGUUAAGAAACAAAUUUUUCUUCAAGUUUCAUAAUUUUCUCUAUUAUUUUCUUCCUCUGAGUCUUCAUGGGACUUCCCCCUUUUCCUAUACCAUAUAUUUUCCUAUACCUAUACCAAUACAUAUAUAUAUUGAUCCCUGUUUACUCAUCCUUAAAUACAAAACAUUUAUCCAGAUGGAAUAGAUUAAAAAUGGCCACACAUUCUUUGAAAUUUUUUCCCACCAAGAGGUUAGUUGUGUUUUCCUUCCCUAUGAAGCUGGGAUAGACUAUGUGUGCACUGACCAAGUCAUGCUAAGCCAGUUCUGGGCCAAGGCUUUAAGAGGACCAGCGGCAUCCUUUUUGUCUUUUGGAGUCCUGAGCUACCAUAUAAGAAAUCAGAUGCUACUGAGGUUGACAUUUGUGAGGAAGCCUAAGAUAGCCAUGUAGAGAAGCCAUGCUGAAUGAAAUACCCCGUCAGUUCCCAGAUGCUCCAUACCCCAGUCAUUCAAGCUAUGUUACCUAAGCCCAGCCCUAAGCCAUCUUUUCCUAUAUGCUGCGCACAAGACUUAAGCUGUGUUUGACUCCAGACCAAACCAAUACCAGCUAGAUAGCAUUGAGUAGCUCCUAUUAAUGCAACAUGAAGAAGAGUGACUUAAUAAAUAACUGCCUGAAUUCCUGACGCACAACUUCAUGAGAUAAUAAAUAUGGUUGUGGUUGUAAACCACCACCAUUUGGAAUAAUGCGUAAUAGAUGAAAUAGUUCAAACAACAGACAACCAAAGACCAGAUUUAACACGUCUCAACAUAGAUGAUCCAUAAGAAGAUUCUUAAUACUCCUUAAUCUCUGUUAAUCUCUAAUGGCCACAAGAAAUUAUCUAGUAUGGUGUACUAAUCACAGCAGGUGAUCUGCUAUAACAAAUCCCCAAAGCUGUUUGUUUUUCCUUCAGAUCACAGUUCCGUGAAGUUCUGGAAAAGGUCUCUGCCUCACAGUCUACAGGCACUCCAAGCUCCUUCCAUCUAGUGGUUCUACAAUUUCCUAGGGUCUUUGAAUCCUUCACUGGAUCUUCUGUAUUUGGCCAGCAAACAUGGGAAGAGAGAAUCCAUAGGAGAUAGUGCAAAAGGUUUUGUGGUUAGUUCUUCAGGUGGCUUUCAUUACUUUUGUCCACUUUCCAUUGGCUAGAAUGGAGUCAUAUGUGGAGGAGGUUAAAAACAAAUCAGUCUAGGUCUAUGCUAAGGAAAGGGAAAUAGGAUAAAUGAACAUAUAACAGUCUCUCUACAUAUGUCCAUAUUAGCAUGGAAUAGCAUCUUCUUCUAAUUUGACUGUCAAGUUUGCCACUAUGCAAGCAAGCCAGAUGCAGAAUAGGGUACUUUUUGUGUACCUCCCCCAUGUGCCUGCUUUCCAGGGCUGCCUGUCUCCCUGACUGCAGAUCUUACCUUUUCCUCUCUAUCAUGCACCUGCUCAGAUACAAAGUCUCCAAAUAGGCAUUAAAAAAGAAGAGUUCACAUGGUCAGGAUGUGAGUGGAAAAUAGAGCAGUACUCUGGCCAGCUCAGAACUCUUGCCUGAGUUUCCAUCAAAGGUCAAAGACUGGACUUGAGCCAAAGCCAUUUCUUGGUAUUCCUCAGGUCUAUAUAUAUUUUUUAUUUGUUUACUCCAUCAAAACGAUCAAAGCUGUAGUCCUCCAAAUGCCUAUGAAUUGGGCCUAUGGUCUUGUCUGUAAUAUUGCCAUCAGCUUUGAUGUGAUUGUGUGUGUGUGUGUGUGUGUGUGUGUGUGUGACUUCAUUUGUCUUUAGUUGGAAAUUGACAGAAUUAUCAGUGGAACUGGGCUGCCACUAAGCCAACUAAAAGUCUCCCUAACCUCUUCGAAUUUUAGUUUUAUUUGUUGUUGUUGUCGUUGUUACUGCUUUUUGUUGUUUUGUUUUCUGGUUUUCUAAAUGUGACUUCCACUUUAGGCUUUCUGUUCGCUGUAAACAAUUACAUCAUGGAAUCUAAAGUUAGCAUUUCUUCAAGAUAUCUAUUCAGUAUAAACAAAAUCAAAGAUGAGUUUUAGAGCAGGGACAACAUUUUAGAUAUCACUAUUUGAUGCAGGUUCUAUUUACCACUGAGCCCAAAGUCCUUCUCAACGCAUCCCUUUGAGAAACCACUACCAAUCAGGUUAUAUAAAGUUUUCAUACCAUCAUGGGUAGAAUGGCCCCAUUUUGUUUGCAUGGCCUGAUCAGUUAAAAGCAUUUAUUAAGCAUCUGUUAUAGGACAGGCAGUGUAAUCCUUGCUGGAGAUAAAUAGCAAAGAAGAGCAUAUCCCAUAUUGCCAAGAAGCACCCAGAGACAAACAAAAUUACACACAGAGUAAAAUGUACUAGAGUAGAUAUAAGUACAGGAUGCCCUAGGAGCACCUGGACCAAGCACCUAUCAUAGUGCUGAGGGUUAGGAAUGGCAGUUUAGAGGACACAGAGACCUGAAGGAUACAUGGGAGUGAAUCAAGCAAAGAGGAAGGGCAGAGCCAUCCACAUAUUCUGGAGCCUUUUCUCAGCUUUCACCCCAUUGCUCUGUUUAAGCACUUCCUUGGGAAAUUCUUUCUCCCAAGAACUCCUGUGCCUCAGGUAUUCCAUGGAAGCAUGGAUGCCAGAAAUAUUAUUAUCUCAUGGUGAAAUCACACUUCUUUGAUGGGGAUGCUGAAAUUGCAAAGGGAUGACAUAAACUGGCUGUGGUUCUUACUCGGGAAAACCUCCAAAAAGCCUCUUCACUCUUCUUUCUUUUUAUAGAACUCUGCCCUCCAUUGUCUCCUUUGGGGGAGGCAGUCCCAGAGUCAAGUUCCUCAGCCCCAGUAAACUUUCCUGAAUUCUUUUUUUUUUUUUUUUUGUCUUUUUUGCCUUUUCUAGGGCCACUUCCCAUGGCAUGUGGAGGUUUCCAGGCUAGGGGUCUAAUCAGAGCUGUAGAAACAUGUCAAAGGAAAGGAAAAUUAUAAAAAACUUGGAAUUGGGGGUUUGGAAGACAAACAUAUUUGGCUGGAAAUUUCAUUGGCUUUGAUCAAGAUUUAUAAAUUAUUAAAGAUAUUUCACUCUAAGCAUGUUUGACUCCAACCAAAUUACGUAUCCAAAUAAGUAUGUCAAAUAAAAUGCCAUAAGAGGAAUGUUAUUGCUAUUUUCACUAGUGUUACUGUAUGUUAAUUCUGUUGACUCCAAAAAAGAGAGGACCUCAUC
Molecule: long non-coding RNA, 3374 nt
Filed under: Sus scrofa (pig)
Lineage: Eukaryota; Metazoa; Chordata; Mammalia; Artiodactyla; Suidae
Description: lncRNA (ENSSSCG00055008011.1)
Source: RNAcentral